RNAcentral lists this ribosomal RNA (429 nucleotides) under Gemmatimonadota bacterium. Its description in RNAcentral is "Gemmatimonadetes bacterium partial 16S ribosomal RNA". It matches the Rfam family "Bacterial small subunit ribosomal RNA", at positions 355 to 776 of the family's 1533-position model. The record is from RNAcentral. Lineage: Bacteria; Pseudomonadati; Gemmatimonadota.
UAGGGAAUCUUCGGCAAUGGACGAAAGUCUGACCGAGCAACGCCGCGUGAGUGAAGAAGGUUUUCGGAUCGUAAAACUCUGUUGUUAGAGAAGAACAAGGACGUUAGUGACUGAACGUCCCCUGACGGUAUCUAACCAGAAAGCCACGGCUAACUACGUGCCAGCAGCCGCGGUAAUACGUAGGUGGCAAGCGUUGUCCGGAUUUAUUGGGCGUAAAGCGAGCGCAGGCGGUUACUUAAGUCUGAUGUGAAAGCCCUCGGCUCAACCGGGGAGGGUCAUUAGAAACUGGGAGACUUGAGUGCAGAAGAGGAGAGUGGAAUUCCAUGUGUAGCGGUGAAAUGCGUAGAUAUAUGGAGGAACACCAGUGGCGAAGGCGGCUCUCUGGUCUGUAACUGACGCUGAGGCUCGAAAGCGUGGGGAGCAAACAGG